ACACGAGGAAACUUGUGCUAAUACCUCAUAAGUCUUCACGGAGAAAGCUUUACGCGCCGAUGGAUGAGCCUGCACUUGAUUAGUUUGUUGGUAGGGUAAUGGCCUACCAAGACAAUGAUCAAUAGCUGAUUUGAGAGGAUGAUCAGCCACAUUGGGACUGAGACACGGCCCAAACUCCUACGGGAGGCAGCAGUAGGGAAUCUUGCACAAUGGGGGAAACCCUGAUGCAGCGAUGCCGCGUGAGUGAAGAAGGCCUUUGGGUUGUAAAGCUCUUUCGUCGGGGAAGAAAAUGACUGUACCCGAAUAAGAAG
RNAcentral lists this ribosomal RNA (311 nucleotides) under uncultured bacterium. RNAcentral's name for it is "bacterial SSU rRNA". It matches the Rfam family "Bacterial small subunit ribosomal RNA", at positions 146 to 490 of the family's 1533-position model. The record is from RNAcentral.